This 497-nucleotide ribosomal RNA is filed under the name uncultured bacterium. Its description in RNAcentral is "partial 16S ribosomal RNA". It matches the Rfam family "Bacterial small subunit ribosomal RNA", at positions 28 to 507 of the family's 1533-position model. The record is from RNAcentral.
GAUGAACGCUGGCGGCGUGCCUAAUACAUGCAAGUCGAGCGAACAGACGAGGAGCUUGCUCCUCUGACGUUAGCGGCGGACGGGUGAGUAACACGUGGAUAACCUACCUAUAAGACUGGGAUAACUUCGGGAAACCGGAGCUAAUACCGGAUAAUAUAUUGAACCGCAUGGUUCAAUAGUGAAAGACGGUUUUGCUGUCACUUAUAGAUGGAUCCGCGCCGCAUUAGCUAGUUGGUAAGGUAACGGCUUACCAAGGCAACGAUGCGUAGCCGACCUGAGAGGGUGAUCGGCCACACUGGAACUGAGACACGGUCCAGACUCCUACGGGGGGGAGCAGUAGGGAAUCUUCCGCAAUGGGCGAAAGCCUGACGGAGCAACGCCGCGUGAGUGAUGAAGGUCUUCGGAUCGUAAAACUCUGUUAUUAGGGAAGAACAAAUGUGUAAGUAACUAUGCACGUCUUGACGGUACCUAAUCAGAAAGCCACGGCUAACUACGUG